RNAcentral lists this microRNA precursor (68 nucleotides) under Bombyx mori (domestic silkworm). RNAcentral's name for it is "mir-2774 microRNA precursor family". It matches the Rfam family "mir-2774 microRNA precursor family". Lineage: Eukaryota; Metazoa; Arthropoda; Insecta; Lepidoptera; Bombycidae. The record is from Rfam by way of RNAcentral.
ACAACAUUCGGACCGUCGGUCAACCGAGCAAUAUCACCCGCUCGUUGGAAGAUCUUUCCUUUCGUCGU